This 495-nucleotide ribosomal RNA is filed under the name uncultured bacterium. RNAcentral's name for it is "partial 16S ribosomal RNA". It matches the Rfam family "Bacterial small subunit ribosomal RNA", at positions 28 to 507 of the family's 1533-position model. The record is from RNAcentral.
GACGAACGCUGGCGGCGUGCCUAAUACAUGCAAGUCGAACGCUGAAGGAGGAGCUUGCUUCUCUGGAUGAGUUGCGAACGGGUGAGUAACGCGUAGGUAACCUGCCUGGUAGCGGGGGAUAACUAUUGGAAACGAUAGCUAAUACCGCAUAAGAGUAGAUGUUGCAUGACAUUUGCUUAAAAGGUGCAAUUGCAUCACUACCAGAUGGACCUGCGUUGUAUUAGCUAGUUGGUGGGGUAACGGCUCACCAAGGCGACGAUACAUAGCCGGCCUGAGAGGGUGAUCGGCCACACUGGGACUGAGACACGGCCCAGACUCCUACGGGAGGCAGCAGUAGGGAAUCUUCGGCAAUGGACGGAAGUCUGACCGAGCAACGCCGCGGGAGUGAAGAAGGUUUUCGGAUCGUAAAGCUCUGUUGUAAGAGAAGAACGAGUGUGAGAGUGGAAAGUUCACACUGUGACGGUAGCUUACCAGAAAGGGACGGCUAACUACGUG